UUUCCACACACAUUUCAAAUUUCUGUCAGUCCAUUUCUAAUUUCUCUCUCUCUCUUUGUAAAUUCGCUCCUCUAGAUUUCUAAAUUUCCUCCUUAGUACCUGGCUUCUUCAACUCCACCGAGAGAUACAAUUUGUGUGGAUUUUGAAAAAUGGGAGUGGAGAAUUACCAUGUGAUAGAGUUAGUAGGUGAAGGCUCGUUUGGGAAAGUGUACAAAGGCAGGCGCAAGUUCACAGGCCAGACUGUUGCAAUGAAGUUUAUUAUGAAACAUGGGAAAAGUGAGAAGGAUAUACAUAAUUUGAGACAGGAAAUUGAGAUUCUAAGAAAGUUGAAGCAUGAAAAUAUCAUUGAAAUGCUUGAUUCCUUUGAAAGCCCCCAAGAAUUCUGUGUUGUCACUGAAUUUGCGCAGGGUGAACUAUUUGAGAUUCUGGAGGAUGAUAAAUGCCUUCCUGAAGAACAGGUUCAAGCAAUUGCAAAGCAGUUGGUAAGAGCACUGCAUUAUUUGCAUUCCAACCGUAUCAUCCAUCGAGACAUGAAACCACAGAACAUACUCAUAGGUGCUGGGUCAGUGGUUAAGCUUUGUGAUUUUGGAUUUGCACGUGCCAUGUCCACAAAUACUGUGGUUUUGCGAUCCAUUAAAGGCACUCCACUGUACAUGGCUCCAGAGUUGGUACGGGAGCAACCAUACAACCACACUGCUGAUUUAUGGUCUCUUGGAGUUAUAUUGUAUGAAUUAUUUGUUGGCCAGCCCCCAUUUUAUACAAAUUCAGUUUAUGCACUUAUCCGACACAUUGUUAAGGAUCCAGUUAAAUAUCCUGAUGAUAUGAGUCCAAACUUCAAAAACUUUCUAAAGGGAUUGCUAAAUAAGGUACCACAAAAUCGAUUGACUUGGCCUGCUCUUCUUGAGCAUCCAUUUAUAAAGGAAACCUUGGAUGAACUGGAAGCCAGGGAAAUGCAAGCUGCAACUGCCGCAGCCAGGGGAUGUGAUGCAGCAUGGAGAGGUGAGGGAAAUAUGAUCCAAGCAUCAACUGAUGUGGCUGUCUCCAGUCCUGAGGGUAGAAGUAAUUCUGUUGCUGCUGUUCAGAACUGUAAUGCUCCAAAGCUUCAUAAUGAUUCUAAACUGAACAGUCCUAAUGCAGCCACAGGCAAUUCUUCACCACUUGAGGAGUUCCCUGGAUUUGCAAGUCCUAAUGAUGUUAAACAGUCAGGUAGCCAGGCAUUAGACAGAUUGGAAAACAACUCUCGCACAGUUAAAGGUGCUCAACUAAUUGGUCAAGACAAUGAAGCUUUAGCACUUGUUUUGCUACCAUUAAAAAGAUGGUCAAAAGAAUCCCAACAUUCUUGCAGGGAUCAAGAUGUUCCAACUUCAAACCAGUCAUUGAGAAUUCUUUCAAACUUAGCUGCAGCUGGCGCAAUCCAGUCUAGCAGGUUGCUUGACGAAAUAUUAUGUGAACUUCUCGACUUCACUGCCAUAACAAUCAGCUUGAAAUCCUUGGAACUCAAUGAUUUAAUUGCAAAGAGUUUCGUUAUUAUGAAACUGUUAUUAGAUAACAAAGGCGAUGGUAUUGGAGCAUCAUAUUUCACACAUUGGGUUGCCCUAAUUGAAAUUUUUGCGCAGGUUGUCGGUUCCAAUGAGGACACCUCUGGAAGAGUUCUGUAUGAGGCCAGUGCUUGCAUCACAGUUGUGUUAUCAAGAGUAGCUCAGGGUCUUAAAACCACUUCUUUGAAUUCAAGUCCUGAAGCAGUUUCUACUCCAGUUAUGAAUGAAACAAUGAAGCGUAUUUUAGAUCAUGCUAAGACAUGUGGAUUAGUUGAACAUUUAUGCCUUAGUUUAGCAACAUCAGGCUCAAGUCUCAUUUCAGGUUCUACAAAUAUGUUGCGAGCUGCUUGCGAGGCUUGUAGGGCUAUGUGGUCAUUGAUAGAUGCAGUGGAAACUCUUUUCGUGAAGUCAAAUGUGUAUUUAUUUCCACUAAAUGCUUUGUGGAGUCAUUCUUUAGUCCGACUUGACAUUAGAGACCAGGAAAGAGGUUCAUUGACUGGGACAGAUUCAGCCAGAAUUAUUGACGCAGUGACAAGAGCACUCCUAAAAUCAAAGGCUGUGCAGGUGGCUAUUUAUUAUUGCCUUCACCAACGUCUAGAGGCUGUACUCUCUGCUAGUAUUCAGCUUUUGUCAAGGUGCUGCCUGCAUAGUGCAAUUGUGCCUGGUGUUCUGUGUGGUUUGCCUAGUUCUCUUCCUGUUACUACUGUUGUUAGCGGCGGGGGAGAUGGAACUAUUGUUUCUGAGAUCUUCUCCAUUUUAUCUUUGUGUGCUUCCUCUUCAAACAAAGAUAAUCUAAUGGGUGAAACAAAUAACUUCAAGAGCAAACUAGUGAAUCCUUCUGCCCUAAUUUUGCAUUCAUGCCUUAUACUUGCAACAGUUGCUCAGUGUUUGAAGUCAACUGGAAGAAAUUCUGCACUGUUUAUGCUUACAACCUCUCCAAAGAAGCAGCUAUCCCGACUUUCAGUUAUUGCCCAUCAAUUUUCACAUGAUGACAGAACAAAAAGUUCAUUGCAACCUCAUUGUGCCUCAGCCAUGCUGGCUCUUGCAUCCAUUCUAUCUCUUGAAAGUGGAACUUCUGUUGAGUCUUCUAUUUCUGAAAUAGCAGUACCUUUGAUUCCUCGCACUGGCACAAUCUGUGAACACCUCAAGAUUUCAACAGGCAAUGAAAGUGAAAUAGGCCCCAAUAGAGUAAAUAGUGUUCUCUCAUAUUGGCACGGCUUUAGGGAUGGGUGUGUUGGCUUAUUAGAAUCGAGACUGAAAUGGGGAGGUCCAUUAGCUGUACAACAGUUAUGUGCAAGUGGUAUCCCUCUGCUUCUUAUUGAGUUGUUAACCAACAACCAUCUGACUGCCUCUCCUCAAGGAAUGGACAGCACAAAUGAUCGAGUUGGGUUAUCCCCUCUUGGGGUCAUAUGGACAAUAUCAUCGAUAUGCCACUGUCUUCCAGGUGGCAACUCAAUUUUUCGCCAGAUAUUAGUCAAGAGUGAACAUGUCAAGCUCAUUUCGGAGUUGAUAUCUGAUGUGCAUCUCAAGCUCGUGAAGUGCUGGGGUGGGCCAGGUGGAGGGAAGGACGGUGUCAGAGACAUAACAAAUGCAGUAAUUGAUCUCUUAGCCUUUCCUUUUGUUGCUGUACAGAAUGCUCCUGGUUUGCCUUCAGCCACAGCUUCUGUAAGCAGUGGGUUCCUUCUCAGCAUGGGUUCACCUGGUGGGAGAAUAUGCAUGGAAGAUAAGAAUAUGGUUAAAGCAAUUGAGGAAGACAUGGGAAAGUAUCUUAAAAUCCUUCUGGAGGUGGGGGUGCCAGGCAUCAUUCUUCGAUGCUUGGAACAUUUGGAGUUGAAGGAUUUGGGAAGGCCGGUUGCAUUUCUAGCCAAAAUGGUGGCCCACCGGCCUCUUGCAGUUCAACUUGUGGGCAAAGGCCUCUUGGAUCCAAACAGAGUGAGAAGAUUGCUUAAUAACUCAAGUCCAAGGGAGGUCAUGCUGGAUGCUGUGAUGAUUAUUUCUGAUCUAGCUCGUAUGGACAAGGGUUUUUAUGAUCACAUUAAUGGAGCUUCUAUAUUGGAAUUCUUGAAGGAGUUCCUUACGCACGAAGAUCCCAAUGUACGUGCAAAGGCAUGCAGCGCUCUAGGCAACAUGUGUCGGCACAGCUCCUACUUCUAUGGCUCACUGGCAAGACAUCAUAUAAUUGGCCUUCUCAUUGAUCGAUGUGCUGACCCAGAUAAACGCACGCGGAAAUUUGCUUGUUUUGCUAUUGGAAACGCCGCCUACCAUAAUGAAAUGCUGUAUGAUGAGCUACGAAGAUCUAUACCUCAAUUAGCAAAUUUGCUGCUCUCAACCGAAGAAGACAAGACUAAAGCCAAUGCUGCUGGUGCAUUAAGCAAUCUUGUUCGCAAUUCCAACAAACUUUGUGAAGACAUUGUCUCUAAAGGAGCCAUGCAGGCUUUACUAAAGUUGGUGGCUGACUGUUCAGCGAUAGCCUUGAACCCAAGCAGAAGAGAUGCUGUAAAUGAAUCGCCACUAAAGAUAGCUCUUUUUUCAUUGGCAAAGAUGUGUGCGCAUCCUCCCUGCAGACAGUUCCUCCGUUCAUCGGAGUUGUUCCCAGUGAUUGGACAGCUUCGACAGUCUCCAGAAUCUACAAUUGCCAACUAUGCCUCUGUUAUAAUGAGCAAAGUUGCAGAAGCUUGAAGCACCAAAGCUAUAAAUUGUUCAAGGUACAAUGGUAUUAGCUUAGUUUAGUUUCCACUGAGCAAUAUGGCUAAUGCUAAAUGUUUGCCAAAUCUUGGCAAUCAAAAUGAAAUGAAAUACAAAGCAUUAUGAAAAUUUUUCUAUAUAGUUUAUGCUGUAACCUUCAAUUGUGAAAAUUUAAUUUCUUUGACAUUUUGUGGGAAAGCUAAAUAAUAGUUUCCUCUUGUAUUUAUAUGAAAUUCUCUUUCCAUUUG
This 4471-nucleotide unclassified non-coding RNA is filed under the name Hevea brasiliensis (rubber tree). Lineage: Eukaryota; Viridiplantae; Streptophyta; Magnoliopsida; Malpighiales; Euphorbiaceae. The record is from RNAcentral.